UAAGUAAGCGGAGGAUAAGAAACUAAAUAGGAUUCCCUCAGUAAUGGCGAAUGAACAGGGAUCAGCUCAACAUGGAAAUUGGGGCUUCUGGCUUUGAAUUGUAAUCUCAAGAUGUAUUGCCAACAGGGGCGCAGAUGUAAGCCUCUUGGAAAAGAGAAUCAUUGAGGGUGAGAAUCCUGUUUGUCAUCUGCAGUCCUCUGUGUACGGCAUGCGUUCUAAGAGUCACGUUCCUCGGGAUUGGAGCGCAAAUUGGGUGGUAAAUUUCAUCUCAAGCUAAAUAUGGGUUCGAAACCGAUAGCAAACAAGUACCAUGAGGGAAAAGAUGAAAAGGACUUUGAAAAGAGAGUUAAAAGUGCCUGAACUUGCUGAAAGGAAAGCGGAUGGAACCAGUGUUGCUUAGUGAGAUUGUUGCGCGCUAAGGUGAUGGCCUGCUGCAUCAGCGCAAGCGUUGCUGUGGGUUUUGAUCUGGUUGCGCGUGAUGCUUCUUGCUUUGAACGUCAUCUGGGGGUUUGGAGGUGCUGACAACUCUUGGGACAUGGUAGCUCGCCUCUGGGUGAGCGAACGUGCCAAGCAGAACGUACCCCCAGACCUCUCGUCCUUGUGCGGAGUUCUGCCGCGCGGCAUGGUGACUGGAAUUGGUUCUAUUCGACCCG
This 653-nucleotide ribosomal RNA is filed under the name Gymnodinium litoralis. Its description in RNAcentral is "partial large subunit ribosomal RNA". It matches the Rfam family "Eukaryotic large subunit ribosomal RNA", at positions 43 to 651 of the family's 3401-position model. Lineage: Eukaryota; Dinophyceae; Gymnodiniales; Gymnodiniaceae. The record is from RNAcentral.